CCUACGGGUGGCUGCAGUGGGGAAUAUUGGACAAUGGGCGAAAGCCUGAUCCAGCCAUGCCGCGUGUGUGAAGAAGGCCUUCGGGUUGUAAAGCACUUUCAGUGGGGAAGAAAGCCUUGGGGCUAAUACCCUCGAGGAAGGACAUCACCCACAGAAGAAGCACCGGCUAACUCCGUGCCAGCAGCCGCGGUAAUACGGAGGGUGCGAGCGUUAAUCGGAAUUACUGGGCGUAAAGCGCGCGUAGGCGGUCUGAUAAGCCGGUUGUGAAAGCCCCGGGCUCAACCUGGGAACGGCAUCCGGAACUGUCAGGCUAGAGUGCGGGAGAGGAGGGUAGAAUUCGCGGUGUAGCGGUGAAAUGCGUAGAGAUCGGGAGGAAUACCAGUGGCGAAGGCGGCCUUCUGGACCGACACUGACGCUGAGGUGCGAAAGCGUGGGUAGCAAACAGGAUUAGAUACCCGUGUAGUC
Molecule: ribosomal RNA, 465 nt
Filed under: Vreelandella stevensii
Lineage: Bacteria; Pseudomonadati; Pseudomonadota; Gammaproteobacteria; Oceanospirillales; Halomonadaceae
Description: partial 16S ribosomal RNA
Rfam family: Bacterial small subunit ribosomal RNA
Source: RNAcentral